CAUAGCUGGUCCUGGUCCCACGUUCUAGAGUGGGGGUCUAGUGCUGUAGAAGCACAGAGAAGGGAGAAGCAUGUACCAGCAGCCAUGUCAGUGUGGCAGGGUGCAUACAUGCUGGCUGGUGUGGCAUAUUAGUGGUAGUAGGGCUGCAGUGUUCCCGCACACACUUGCCCAUAUGUGCAUUCUGGCAAAGCAGUGAGGGGGUAGCCAUGGGUGAGUGCAUGCCAGCAAAGCAACCUGGGGGAGGCUGUGGUGAGUGGAGCAUGCAAGCGGGCUGGUAUACAUUGGUGGGGGCCACUCUGCUGGAGAUCUCUGAUGGUCAGGCGUGGUCUGCUGGCAAAGCAGCUGUGAUGAAGGUCCCAAGGAGCACCCUGGUGGACAUCCAAGGAUGUGCUGCAAGUGAGUGGAGCCAGGCUGGGGCCCUGGGAGAGGUCAGCAGAUAGUGAGGUGCUCAGAUUAGCCUGGCCCCAUCCCAUGGAG
RNAcentral lists this long non-coding RNA (477 nucleotides) under Homo sapiens (human). RNAcentral's name for it is "non-protein coding lnc-LURAP1L-3:2". The record is from RNAcentral. Lineage: Eukaryota; Metazoa; Chordata; Mammalia; Primates; Hominidae.